Molecule: long non-coding RNA, 216 nt
Organism: Haliotis rubra (blacklip abalone)
Lineage: Eukaryota; Metazoa; Mollusca; Gastropoda; Lepetellida; Haliotidae
Exons: 3
Source: RefSeq, a predicted model, not a curated record
CUAAUAAAUGUCAAUUAAUUUACAGUGACUUGAAGUGAACACCAGUUCAGCUCAUUAGCGUCUCUCGCUCGAGUGACCAACUGACUAAUCCGUUAAUCCCUAAUCCGUUAAUCCUGAUUGGAUUAGAAACUUCAAAGCAAAAUCGCCAGUGACUUCGUGCGAAUAGUGUUCACCCUACUGGUGACUUCAUGAGAAGACACCGCCCUGGGUUCUAUU